UUAGCAGUGAGGAAUAUUGGUCAAUAGCCUAACGGCUGAACCAGCAACUUGGAAGAAUGUAUAGCAAUAGCUGAUUGCACAACAAACAGUUGAUGCAAGAUUGACUUUGUCAAAUAAAAUUCUAGGUAGAUUUAUGAUAAUGACAUCGUCUGCCUAUAUGUCUUGACCAAAUUACGUGCCAGCAGUCGCGGUAAUACGUAGAAGACUAGUGUUAUUCAUGUUUAAUUGGUUUAAAGGGUACCUAGACGGUAAAUCAAGCCUUAACAGGAACUGAUUUCCUAGAGUUACUUAUGAGGGGGUUUUAAAGUACUGCUGGUGUAGAGAUGAAAUUCUGUGAUACCUAAAACCGGAACUAUAUGGCACAGGUAUAGGUGAAAACAUCCCCUUAAGAGAUAACUGACGUUGAGGGACGAAGCCUUUGUGUAGCGAACAGGAUUAGAUACCCUAGUAGUCAAAGGAGAAAAUGAUGAAUGUCAUAGAUUAGAGUAAUACUUUAUUCUAUAAACGAAAGUGUAAGCAUUCCACCUCAAGAGUAAUUUGGCAACAUUGGAACUGAAAUCAUUAGACCGUUUCUGAAACCAGUAGUGAAGUAUGUUGUUUAAUUUGAUAAUACGCAAAAAACCUUACCACAAUUUGAAUAUUCAUAUUUAUUUUNUCUUGAAUUUUUACUUAUACUAUUAUGUAAAUUAUUAUGUAGAUUAUAUUGAUUAUCUAUAUAAUUUUGUAUAUUUUGUAUAAUAGAGAAAAGGUAGUAUAAUUACAAGCGUUGCACGGCUGUCUUCAGUUAAUGUCGUGAGAUUUUGGUUAGUUCCAUUAAAUUAACGUAACCCUUACUCUAUUUUAACAUAAAGUAGUUCCUCCCGCUAUAAUUGGAUAUGAUCCAAAGGG
Molecule: ribosomal RNA, 888 nt
Filed under: Heterodea muelleri
Lineage: Eukaryota; Fungi; Ascomycota; Lecanoromycetes; Lecanorales; Cladoniaceae
Description: SSU rRNA
Rfam family: Bacterial small subunit ribosomal RNA
Source: RNAcentral